RNAcentral lists this ribosomal RNA (849 nucleotides) under uncultured bacterium. Its description in RNAcentral is "bacterial SSU rRNA". It matches the Rfam family "Bacterial small subunit ribosomal RNA", at positions 8 to 849 of the family's 1533-position model. The record is from RNAcentral.
AGAGUUUGAUCCUGGCUCAGGAUGAACGCUAGCGGCAGGCCUAACACAUGCAAGUCGAGGGGCAUCACGGAAAAGCUUGCUUUUCUGGUGGCGACCGGCGCACGGGUGAGGAACACGUAUGGAACCUGCCCCUGUCAGGGGAAUAGCCCAGGGAAACUUGGAUUAAUGCCCCAUGGUACCUGGGGAUCGCAUGAUCCCCCGGUUAAAGAUUCAUCGGACGGGGAUGGCCAUGCGCACCAUUAGCUAGUUGGUAGGGUAACGGCCUACCAAGGCAGCGAUGGUUAGGGGCCCUGAGAGGGGGAUCCUCCACACUGGUACUGAGACACGGACCAGACUCCUACGGGAGGCAGCAGUGAGGAAUAUUGGACAAUGGCCGAGAGGCUGAUCCAGCCAUGCCGCGUGCAGGAUGACUGCCCUAUGGGUUGUAAACUGCUUUUAUACGGGAAGAAGCCCCCCCACGUGUGGGGGGCUGACGGUACCGUAAGAAUAAGGACCGGCUAACUCCGUGCCAGCAGCCGCGGUAAUACGGAGGGUCCGAGCGUUAUCCGGAAUCAUUGGGUUUAAAGGGUCCGUAGGCGGGCCGUUAAGUCAGGGGUGAAAGUCUGCGGCUCAACCGUAGAAUUGCCUUUGAUACUGGCGGUCUUGAGUCAUGGUGGGGUCGCCGGAACAUGUGGUGUAGCGGUGAAAUGCAUAGAUAUCACAUAGAACACCGAUCGCGAAAGCAGGUGACCAACCAUGAACUGACGCUGAUGGACGAAAGCGUGGGUAGCGAACGGGAUUAGAUACCCCGGUAGUCCACGCCGUAAACGAUGGAUACUAGCUGUGGGGACUUUAUUGUCUCCGUGGCCA